This 500-nucleotide ribosomal RNA is filed under the name uncultured bacterium. RNAcentral's name for it is "partial 16S ribosomal RNA". It matches the Rfam family "Bacterial small subunit ribosomal RNA", at positions 30 to 523 of the family's 1533-position model. The record is from RNAcentral.
AUUGAACGCUGGCGGCAUGCUUUACACAUGCAAGUCGAACGGUAACAGGGUGCUUGCACCGCUGACGAGUGGCGAACGAGUGAGUAAUGCGUCGGAACGUGCCGAGUAGUGGGGGAUAACGCAGCGAAAGUUGUGCUAAUACCGCAUACGUACUGAGGUAGAAAGUGGGGGACCUUCGGGCCUCACGCUAUUCGAGCGGCCGACGUCUGAUUAGCUAGUAGGUGAGGUAAAGGCUCACCUAGGCGACGAUCAGUAGCGGGUCUGAGAGGAUGAUCCGCAACCCUGGGACUGAGACACGGCCCAGACUCCUACGGGAGGCAGCAGUGGGGAAUUUUGGACAAUGGGCGAAAGCCUGAUCCAGCCAUGCCGCGUGUCUGAAGAAGGCCUUCGGGUUGUAAAGGACUUUUGUCGGGGAGGAAAUCCCCAGCGUUAAUACCGCUGGGGGAUGACAGUACCUGACGAAUAAGCACCGGCUAACUACGUGCCAGCAGCCGCGGUAA